Molecule: ribosomal RNA, 252 nt
Filed under: Intestinibacter bartlettii DSM 16795
Lineage: Bacteria; Bacillati; Bacillota; Clostridia; Peptostreptococcales; Peptostreptococcaceae
Description: partial 16S ribosomal RNA
Rfam family: Bacterial small subunit ribosomal RNA
Source: RNAcentral
UACGUAGGGGGCUAGCGUUAUCCGGAUUUACUGGGCGUAAAGGGUGCGUAGGCGGGCUUUUAAGUCAGGAGUGAAAGGCUACGGCUCAACCGUAGUAAGCUCUUGAAACUGGAGGACUUGAGUGCAGGAGAGGAGAGUGGAAUUCCUAGUGUAGCGGUGAAAUGCGUAGAUAUUAGGAGGAACACCAGUAGCGAAGGCGGCUCUCUGGACUGUAACUGACGCUGAGGCACGAAAGCGUGGGGAGCAAACAGG